Molecule: small nuclear RNA, 160 nt
Organism: Pogona vitticeps (central bearded dragon)
Lineage: Eukaryota; Metazoa; Chordata; Lepidosauria; Squamata; Agamidae
Gene: U1
Rfam family: U1 spliceosomal RNA
About the family: U1 is a small nuclear RNA (snRNA) component of the spliceosome (involved in pre-mRNA splicing). Its 5' end forms complementary base pairs with the 5' splice junction, thus defining the 5' donor site of an intron.
Source: Ensembl
ACUCAGACCUGGCAGGGAAGAUACAGUACCAUUCUUGUAAGAGUGGUUUUCCCAGGGUAAGGCUCAUCUAUUGCACUUCAGAUGAGCUAACCCCUGUGAUUUCCCCAAAUGUGGGAAAAUCAACUGCCUAAAUGGGGGACUGUGUUUCUGGUUUCCCCUG